GAGGCUGUAGCUCAGUGGCAGAGCGCUUGCCUAGCAUGCAUGAGGUCUUGGGUUCAAUUCUCAACACCACA
Molecule: transfer RNA, 71 nt
Filed under: Marmota monax (woodchuck)
Lineage: Eukaryota; Metazoa; Chordata; Mammalia; Rodentia; Sciuridae
Description: tRNA.Ala
Rfam family: tRNA (bases 6-66)
About the family: Transfer RNA (tRNA) molecules are approximately 80 nucleotides in length. Their secondary structure includes four short double-helical elements and three loops (D, anti-codon, and T loops). Further hydrogen bonds mediate the characteristic L-shaped molecular structure. tRNAs have two regions of fundamental functional importance: the anti-codon, which is responsible for specific mRNA codon recognition, and the 3' end, to which the tRNAs corresponding amino acid is attached (by aminoacyl-tRNA synthetases). tRNAs cope with the degeneracy of the genetic code in two manners: having more than one tRNA (with a specific anti-codon) for a particular amino acid; and 'wobble' base-pairing, i.e. permitting non-standard base-pairing at the 3rd anti-codon position.
Source: RNAcentral